UCCGGCCACUCUGUCUCCGUUGAACACAGAUUGAACACGAACGGGUAAGGAGCUGCUUGCUUCUUUUUUCCAUCUUCAACUGCUAAAAGAACAUCGGUCUUGUUUCUAUUCUAGCUUAUUUAUGAGAGUAUAAAUAAGUAUAAAUUUUAUAAUUGAAUUAUUUUAAUAAAUAAAAAAUAUAUAGCUCGUGUUUGAUUCCAGUAGGAAUAAUGAGUAAUAAGUGAGCUUUAAUCUAGACAGAAGGAAAGGGAAAAUUGAGCAUUCUUUCCAAGUCCAAAGGGAACCAAAAUAGAAAAAACACAAACAGUAAUGGCAGGAUCGAUGGAUUAUUGCUUUGGCAGAGGCUAAUGUUCAAUUGUGUGUGUUUUUUUUAAAAUCAUAUAUAUAU
RNAcentral lists this long non-coding RNA (388 nucleotides) under Panax ginseng (ginseng). Its description in RNAcentral is "long non-coding RNA (PGIN_LNC002431)". Lineage: Eukaryota; Viridiplantae; Streptophyta; Magnoliopsida; Apiales; Araliaceae. The record is from RNAcentral.